GACGAACGCUGGCGGCGUGCUUAACACAUGCCAGUCGAACGGAAAGGCCCUGCUUUUGUGGGGUGCUCGAGUGGCGAACGGGUGAGUAACACGUGAGUAACCUGCCCUUGACUUUGGGAUAACUUCAGGAAACUGGGGCUAAUACCGGAUAGGAGCUCCUGCUGCAUGGUGGGGGUUGGAAAGUUUCGGCGGUUGGGGAUGGACUCGCGGCUUAUCAGCUUGUUGGUGGGGUAGUGGCUUACCAAGGCUUUGACGGGUAGCCGGCCUGAGAGGGUGACCGGCCACAUUGGGACUGAGAUACGGCCCAGACUCCUACGGGAGGCAGCAGUGGGGAAUACUGCACAAUGGGCGGAAGCCUGAUGCAGCAACGCCGCGUGCGGGAUGACGGCCUUCGGGUUGUAAGCCGCUUUCGCCUGUGACGAAGCGUGAGUGACGGUAAUGGGUAAAGAAGCACCGGCUAACUACGUG
Molecule: ribosomal RNA, 468 nt
Filed under: uncultured bacterium
Lineage: Bacteria
Description: partial 16S ribosomal RNA
Rfam family: Bacterial small subunit ribosomal RNA
Source: RNAcentral